This 425-nucleotide ribosomal RNA is filed under the name uncultured Spirosoma sp. RNAcentral describes it as "bacterial SSU rRNA". It matches the Rfam family "Bacterial small subunit ribosomal RNA", at positions 354 to 776 of the family's 1533-position model. The record is from RNAcentral. Lineage: Bacteria; Pseudomonadati; Bacteroidota; Cytophagia; Cytophagales; Cytophagaceae.
GUAGGGAAUAUUGGGCAAUGGACGGAAGUCUGACCCAGCCAUGCCGCGUGCAGGAUGAAGGCGCUCAGCGUUGUAAACUGCUUUUAUCAGGGAAGAACAGUAGUGGUGCGCCAUUAUGUGACGGUACCUGAGGAAUAAGCACCGGCUAACUCCGUGCCAGCAGCCGCGGUAAUACGGAGGGUGCAAGCGUUGUCCGGAUUUAUUGGGUUUAAAGGGUGCGUAGGUGGUUUUUUAAGUCUGGUUUGAAAGCUGGUCGCUUAACGAUCAGAUGUGGCUGGAAACUGAGGAACUUGAAUGCGUUGGCGGUAGCCGGAACGGGUCAUGUAGCGGUGAAAUGCAUAGAUAUGACCCAGAACACCGAUUGCGAAGGCAGGCUACUACGACGUGAUUGACACUGAGGCACGAGAGCAUGGGUAGCGAACAGG